UGAAGAGGAGCUUGCUCCUUGGAUCAGUGGCGAACGGGUGAGUAACACGUGAGCAAUCUGCCCUUGACUCUGGGAUAACUGCGGGAAACUGUAGCUAAUACCGGAUAUUACCUUGGAAGGCAUCUUCUGGGGUGGAAAGAAUUUUGGUCAAGGAUGAGCUCGCGGCCUAUCAGCUAGUUGGUGAGGUAAUGGCUCACCAAGGCGACGACGGGUAGCCGGCCUGAGAGGGUGACCGGCCACACUGGGACUGAGACACGGCCCAGACUCCUACGGGAGGCAGCAGUGGGGAAUAUUGCACAAUGGGCGCAAGCCUGAUGCAGCAACGCCGCGUGAGGGACGACGGCCUUCGGGUUGUAAACCUCUUUUAGUAGGGAAGAAGCGACUGGGUUUUCCUGGGAGUGACGGUACCUGCAGAAAAAGCACCGGCUAACUACGUGCCAGCAGCCGCGGUAAUACGUAGGGUGCAAGCGUUGUCCGGAAUUAUUGGGCGUAAAGAGCUCGUAGGCGGUUUGUCGCGUCUGCUGUGAAAACCCGAGGCUCAACCUCGGGCCUGCAGUGGGUACGGGCAGACUAGAGUGCGGUAGGGGAGAUUGGAAUUCCUGGUGUAGCGGUGGAAUGCGCAGAUAUCAGGAGGAACACCAAUGGCGAAGGCAGAUCUCUGGGCCGUAACUGACGCUGAGGAGCGAAAGCAUGGGGAGCGAACAGGAUUAGAUACCCUGGUAGUCCAUGCCGUAAACGUUGGGAACUAGAUGUGGGGACCAUUCCACGGUCUCCGUGUCGCAGCUAACGCAUUAAGUUCCCCGCCUGGGGAGUACGGCCGCAAGGCUAAAACUCAAAGGAAUUGACGGGGGCCCGCACAAGCGGCGGAGCAUGCGGAUUAAUUCGAUGCAACGCGAAGAACCUUACCAAGGCUUGACAUAUACCGGUAACGCCUGGAAACAGGUGCCCCGCAAGGUCGGUAUACAGGUGGUGCAUGGUUGUCGUCAGCUCGUGUCGUGAGAUGUUGGGUUAAGUCCCGCAACGAGCGCAACCCUCGUCCUAUGUUGCCAGCACGUAAUGGUGGGAACUCAUGGGAUACUGCCGGGGUCAACUCGGAGGAAGGUGGGGAUGACGUCAAAUCAUCAUGCCCCUUAUGUCUUGGGCUUCACGCAUGCUACAAUGGCCGGUACAAAGGGCUGCGAUACCGCAAGGUGGAGCGAAUCCCAAAAAGCCGGUCUCAGUUCGGAUUGAGGUCUGCAACUCGACCUCAUGAAGUCGGAGUCGCUAGUAAUCGCAGAUCAGCAACGCUGCGGUGAAUACGUUCCCGGGCCUUGUACACACCGCCCGUCAAGUCAUGAAAGUCGGUAACACCCGAAGCCAGUGGCCGAACCCGUAAGGGACGGAG
This 1384-nucleotide ribosomal RNA is filed under the name Cryobacterium sp. TMT1-66-2. RNAcentral's name for it is "bacterial SSU rRNA". It matches the Rfam family "Bacterial small subunit ribosomal RNA". The record is from RNAcentral. Lineage: Bacteria; Bacillati; Actinomycetota; Actinomycetes; Micrococcales; Microbacteriaceae.